CUUAGAAAUCAUUUGUUUUGUCAGCAGAGAGACUCGCAUUCACGUCUUUGCCGCAGUGAGGCAUAUAUAUACAUACGCAAACUUCAGGUAUAACAUUACUCUUGUUUCCUAUAAACACAAUUCGAUUUUGCUAGACGAAGAAUAAGAGAAACAUCCAACAUGGAUGUGAAUAUUUGACAAAGUGUGUGUUUAAAAUGUGAACUGAUAAAAAGGAAUUACAUUAAUGUGAACAUUAUUAGAAGAAAAAAAUGAAUUCAAUAAUCCAUGAACAAGUGCAUUUCUGCGUGCAUUGAAUCUUAUGCAGAUUAUUUAAAAUAUUUACCUUCGUAGAAUCAGACAUUCAUUGUUUUCUGACGAAAAAUUAACAAUAUUACUUGCAACUUACAUACAGAAACAUCUUGCAUAAAUUAUGGGGCAGAGUUGUUUCAUUUCUAUGUUCCAUGUGUUAAUACCUUAUUCAACGUUUUAUAUUGAAUUUUUCACUUGAUAAUUUUGUUGCGCUCAAUCAAAUUUGUGCAAAGGGUUAACCGUUUAACUUCAAGACAUUUCAGCUCAGAGUUAUAGGAUUAUGCGCCACUGUAUUUGUGUGUGUGUUACUGUUACACCAGUUUAGUAAAACGGCAAAUGAAUCAUCGUAAACAAACUUUAUUGGCUAGGGCUGAAAAUUGGUGUACCAUGUUUUCUAUGGAUAAGCUACCGAAGGAAAUUUUUUCGAUAAAAAUCGAUUUAAGAGCACUUUUGACCCCCUUAUCCUGCUACACUCUUUCAAAACUUAGGGCUACAGCAUUGAAUGAAGGGGAGCCUUUUGCUGCCUGAAGUGACUCAAGCACAAUCUGACAAAUCGAUAAAAUUAGACCAAUUUACGUCGUGUUUGGGCUAAUUUUAAUCAAAAGAACCACAGUAAACCACUGGCACGACGUUUGCAAAGUGUAUUCAUUUUCUGUCCCUGCCUACUGGGAUCAUGUUACACUGAGUUCGAGACAGUGAGUAGUGGAGAAGAGUAAGGAUUGUUUGUUAAAAUUUUACCAUGGAAAUUUCUUUAACCCUUUGCACUCGAGAGGCGACUGCUACUCGCCAUUCGAUUCAACACAAUAAAAUUGUAAAAUUUAAAAUUCAAUAUUAAAUUUUGUGUAAAGUAUCGACACGUGAAACAUAAAAAUAAAAUAGUUCUGUCUCUUAAUCUAUGCAAGAUUUUUCUUUACGCUAAUUACAAAUAAUGUUAUCGAUAUUUCAUUAGGAAAUAACGACUAUAAAAGUUGCGACAAGCAGUAUUGUAGUAACAAUUUUAUUGUUUUAUGGAUUCGUUUGGUAUGAAUAGUAUAUCUACUAACCAGAAAGCUUUACGGAUAAUUAUUAAACGAUAUUUGCCGAGAAAAUGAGGUUAAAAUAUAAUAAAUAAUUUUUAUUAUAUUUUAGAAAAAUUGCUUUUAGAAAAAAUAAUUACUAGUUUUCAUUACGGUUGUAAUAAUAUAAAAGAAUUCUUUCCUUCCGUUGAUUAUAUGCGACAUUCAAACUUUUAUCUUUAAUCACUUUCUUCCGCUGAACACGGAUUUAUUAUUAUCUUUCACAAGAUCUUCGGAAUUAUUAUCUUAUUAAUAAAUCGUUGUGCGAAGAUAUUAAGACUAAAAAAUGAUGAGUAAUAUAGACCAUAAGCAUGGGCAAAUAACUAUUACUUUGUAAUUUCAUUUGUUUUUGUCUAUUAUACAACAAAAAUAAAUUAUACCUGAAAAUAUUUAAAAAUCGUUACAAGAUAAAAGAUAUGAAGUAUUUAACAUUAUCGGUAUGAUGGAUUAAGGUAGAUUAACGUUAUAAUCUUCAGAAUAUUAACGCGUGUAAUGCUAAUACUGUAAGCAAUUUGAAAUAUAUAUUACAAUAUUAAUA
Molecule: long non-coding RNA, 1881 nt
Organism: Nomia melanderi (Alkali bee)
Lineage: Eukaryota; Metazoa; Arthropoda; Insecta; Hymenoptera; Halictidae
Source: RefSeq, a predicted model, not a curated record